Molecule: unclassified non-coding RNA, 147 nt
Filed under: uncultured Chaetosphaeriales
Lineage: Eukaryota; Fungi; Ascomycota; Sordariomycetes
Description: sequence contains ITS2
Source: RNAcentral
CCACCCUCAGGCUCCGCCUGGUGUUGGGGACCUGCCUCCUCGCAGCCCCCUAAAGACAGCGGCGGGCUCGCCCCGGUCCCGAGCGUAGUAGCACACGUCGCUCCGGGUGCCGGGCUGGCUCCUGCCGUAAAACCCCCCUUUCUCAAA